CAUUCAGAGGCUGCUGAUGACAGACAUGUCGCUCCUGCUCUUAGUCAUUCUCGUGAUUGCUGAUAAUGUGAAUACUGCGGUAAUUAAGUUUGAGGCUCACCCAGAGACUUUAGAAGAGCUGAUGUCCGAUCAAUCAUAUUUGGUGGUGGAGGGAGACAUCAUCUUGCUG
Molecule: long non-coding RNA, 169 nt
Organism: Nematolebias whitei (Rio pearlfish)
Lineage: Eukaryota; Metazoa; Chordata; Actinopteri; Cyprinodontiformes; Rivulidae
Exons: 3
Source: RefSeq, a predicted model, not a curated record